CUUGGAACCAUGGUAAGACCAGAAUGUCAGUGUAGCAGCUCACAACCUGCUUGCCUCUUAGGCUGGAAUGGAAGCCAUGGAAUGAGGCUGGGAAGAAUGUCUUCAGUCAUGUCUUGCUGCAAUGGACUUUAACAUCUGAGAGGCCUGGAUUUCUAACCUUGCAGCACCACUAACUAGCUGGAUGACCUUGAACAAAUUAGCUAACUCCCUAAAUCUUAUAAUAUCAGUGAAAUCAGAAUGAUGCUCCCUAGUUUGCAGUGAUGUUGUGAUGUGUGAGCCAUGGAAAGCUAAAAUGCUUAUCCAGUCCUGAGCCAUAGCAUAUGUACAAUCUAAGGCCUUUUCCCUUCCCUCCAAUUCCAUAACAUGCCUCAUGGCCGAGCAUUGAAGAAGUGUGUCCAGAGCUGGACACACUGCCUCCUGGUCUCUUCUCCUGACCCCAAUACAGGGUUGGUGGUAAUGAUGCCCUUCAUGCACCUGUACAGGGAGCAAGAACAACCUUUCAGAUCAGACCUCCAGAUGCCUGGCUUAAUGUAAAGUCCGUCCUUCAAGUGGAAUCUGCCCUUCAUCACCACUAGAAUCUUCUCUGCUUUCACUUCAGUGCCAAAACAUAUACUUCAUUCUAGAACUUAGAAGUUCUUCACCAGGGAUUCCCCCAAACCUUCAAGUGUGUGGGGGGGGUUGGGGGUGUGUGGGCUUUCACCUACCUAUGUUUUAUGGAAAGAUUCAUGGCUUUCGUUAAUGUCUAAGAAAGAUUCGUGACUAAAAUACCGUGAAUAAUAACCAAAUCCCUUUGGAAAUGUUUCUCUACCCAUGAGAGAAAGCCAGAAGUUCUGAGCACAACCUCUCCCUGCUUCCUACAGCUCUGGUAGGUUUCCACAACCAGUCGCUCUAACACCCACCCCAGGUCACAUCUAAAGAUGAGUAAAGCCACUUCUUACUUUCUCUGGCCACACUGGCUUGUGGUAUUGAGGGGGCCUUUGCACUUCUCAGUUGAUUAGGGAGAUGACAAAUGAGGGCAAUUACAGAGGCUUGGCCAUCAUAGUCCAACUGAACCUGACACCACAGAAUAUUUUCCACAACCUCUGGGUGCUGUUACAGCUUUGGGCCUAAGGCUUUACCUAGGAGAGACCACCAGCAGGGAAUGCUAGGGGGGCGGGGAUUAAAACAAAAACCAAGGGAGAGUUGUGAAGCAGUUAACAGCUUCCCCUUUCUCACAGCUGGCCAGGCUGAUGAGGAUGGGGAAGAAGAGGGAGGGAAAGUGCCAGACCUUUUCCCCAGAGGUCUCAUUUUGAAUUUAAUGGGCAGCAUUUGUGGGGAAUGAGAGAGGCUUCAAGCCCAAGGGACCAGAAGACAAAGGCUCUUGAGGAAGUGCAAGGAGGAGGAGGGCCCGGCCACUGUGUGUGAGAGCUCUCCCUCUAUCUGUUUCAUCGCUGUUGGGGUUAGGGUUACCCUCCAUUUGGGGCCCUAGCUGCUUUGUGGGGUCUGUGACAUCAGCCCUUGUGAUGAUAAUGGAUGGGCCUCACACAGGGGGCACUCCUUCCUUUGCCAACUCAUACCAGCUUCCAGAGAGGAUUGAAGCUCUUGUUCCCUUAGGGUGGGGGCAGGAUGUGGGCCCAGAAUUGGACCCAAGACAACAGUCCCCCUCCCAGGCUGAACCCACUGCUCAGUGUACCUUCCAAACCCAAGCUAUGACCUUCCUCUCUCCAAAGCUCCAGAAAAGGAAAGGAAUCUGAACAUUGAGAUGCUUUUCUGGCCCUAAACAAUCCUCCCAUUCUCUAGGCUCAAUGAUGGGUCUAUUCCCUCCUGUAAAUGGGUCUCGUAAUCUUCAACUUUUACCUUUGCUUCUAAGGGUAAUUAAUUGGAUCUCCCUCUUGUUCUCCCCACACACUCCCCUCUCUGUUACAAGGCUCAGGUUAAGGUGGCUUUUUUUCUGUUCUAUGAGGUGCUUAUUUUUAAAGCUGGUGGACUAAGGCCCUUCCCUCCCCUGCAAAUCCCUUCUCCAGAGAAGCCCACUAGGGGAAAUGACUUCCACAGACACUGGAAAGGGGCUCAUGACUAUGCCAGCUAGAGGGUUUUUAUUUUUUUAUUUUUUUGGUACUGGGGAUUGAACUCGGGUCCUUCCGCUUGCGCAGCAGGUGGUGAAACCACUGAGCUAAAUCCCCGGCCAGCUAGAGGCUUUUUAGAUCAUCAGUUCUAAGUGACUAGGUCACUCCCCGCCCCCUCCUCCAAGUGUGUUUCCAAAGAUUUAGAGAAGAAGGAGUUUUCAGGGAGCACUCAUAAGAGCAAAGUGGAGGGUUGAGUGUGAUCUGGCUGGUAGACAGAAGAUACAAAGAUGCCAAGGGGACAUAGGACAAAGUAAGAACUAGAGAUCAAACUUUUUUAUUUUUUUGACUCAAGUAAAGAAAACCAGUAAGGCCUUAGGUGCAUGGCAACAAGGUAAGAGGUGAGGAUAUGGCCCAGGCAGGCGUGUAGGGGCAGCUGGACCCAGGGCUGCCAGGGAGGUAGGUCAUGCAGGCAUGAAACUAAACUCCAGAGACUGGUAAUUUCUAGUUACCUAUGGACUUGUCAGAUUCUUCUAGUAGAUCAUGAGUUUCAAAGGCUGAAACAAUUUACUCCUAUCUGAAUCCCCUGCAGCACCUAGCCAGCAAAUGGCAUGUGGACACUCAUGACUGAAAGAAUCAAAACUAUAAAGGGACUGUCAGGUACCAAGGGAGGGGCCUCUGAGAGCAGUAUUCCCUGGUUGGAGGAAUAUUCUGUCACUAACAUUGACUAGGGCUGUCAAUAUAGGGUGGAAACCAACCAAUAAGUUAUAGACAGUUUUACUAUGGUUUUAGAAUACAUGUGCCAUCCUUCUCUUGUAAUGCCAUUGAGUAUGGAAGAGGUUAAAGAUAGAUUGAGUCAGGUAAGUAAAGAAAGUAGCAGUUUAAUCCUUGAUCAGCAGGAGGUCCUAGUGGUGUGAUGACUGUGUGUGUACAUGUAUAUAUGUGUAUUUGUGAGUGUACAGUGUGUAUGGGGUAUCAGACAGAAUUGGGAUAUUCUGCACUGAAUUCUAUUUCCUAAUCCUAUUUCCCACUUAUAAUCACUGUUAAUACUAUGAUAAUAUUCUUUCAGAUUAUUUUAAUAUGUAUGUACUGACUCACAAAUUGCAGUGCAUUAUGGUUUUAUUUUUUCACUUAAUUAAACUUAAAUAUCUUUCAUUGGCAACAUACAGAAUUUCUUCAUCCUUUAUGAAACCCAUAAAGUAUAUGCAUUGUGUGGAUGGGCUAUAAGUUUAUUUAACCAAUUCCAAAUUGAUGAAUAUUUGGAGGGUUUCUAGUAUGUCACCUUAUACACAAUAUUGCAAGAUAUUGCAGAUAUAUUUGCUUAUUUUCUUAGGUAUUCCUAUAGCAUAAAAUUUGAGUAGAACUGAUUGGCUCACCAAUUGAAAACUGUAAGUGUUAGUAGAUUUUUCUAAAAAAUAACUAAUUUACACUCUCCAGUAGACUAUAAAAGAGUAUAUAUCCUUAGUCUUGAGUAAAUCAGAAUUUUCAUCCUUGUCAAUCUUAAAAGUAAAAAAUGAGUUACUUCCCUUUGUUUAAUUUACAUUAAUUUAUAGUGAGCUUAAGCAUCUUUUUAUAUUGUUUGUUGGUCAUUUGCAUUUCCUUUUAUAUGAACUGGCUAUCCAGAUAGUCUACCUUUAAAAAAGUAGGCUGUGUUCUUUUCCAUAUUGAUGUGUAGAUCUUUGAAUGAGGAACUUUAACAGUUUGUUCAUGAUGUACAUCAAUUUGAAUUCUUUAUUUUGCAGGUAACAAAAAACCCAACUCAGAAAAGGACAUUUACUGACUAAACAACCAAAGAAGUAUUAUGUACCUGCCUAUCAGACUGACAAAAUUUUUAAAGUCUGAUGUUAACAAUCAUUGGUGAGGAUGUGAAGAAACAAGACCUCAUGGUGAUGAGAAGAUAAAGAAAUACAACUACUUUAGAAAGCCAUUUGGUGAUGCAGAUCCAAAUGCCUUAUCUGUAAUUCAGAAACCCAGAAAGCUCUGAAAUCUGAAAGUUCUUUCUUAACUUAUUUGGUGGCAAAACUUGACCUGAUGUAAAAAUACAUGUCUUCAUUUAUCCCACUUAAUGUGGAUAUUUAUACUUCUCACCCCAGAAAAAAUAAUAUAUUUGAUUAUGGGCUACUUCUCAAAGCCUGCUGAGAUUAUUCUAUAUGGCACAUACGCAUAUUACCUUUCCAAAAUCCAAAAAAUUCUUAACACAUCUGACCCCAAGGACUUUGAACAACAUAUUGUAGACCUGAGUCUAGUAAAGUCAUACAUCUGGACAUCCUAAGACUCAACCAUUCUGCUCCUAAGGCUAUUCUUUAGAGAAAUCUAUCCAUAUGUGCACAAGGAGACAUAUCUAAGCAUGUUAAUUAUAGCAUUAUUUGUAAUGAUAAAAAUUAGAAAUAACCUAAAUGUUCAUCAAUGGGAGAAUAAAUUGUGAUAUAUUAACCCAGUAGAAUGCUAAAUAGUUAAGGUAUUGAUACAUGGGUGAGCAUUUUUAAGUCUAAAGAGUUGUUGAAUAAAAAAGAUGUUGAAGAAUGAUAGAUAACAGUACAAUACAAUUUAAGGUUUGAAAACAUAUAUGAGGGUGAUAAACACCAAAGUCAAUAUUAUAACUAUUGUAUCUUUGCAAAAGGAGGAAAAGAAUAAAGUCCCUGGGGAUAUAAAGUAGGUUUAUAUUUUAUCUAUAAAUUCUAAUUUAUUGUUUAAAAUAUGAAUGUGGUAAAAUGCUAAAACAAAUACAGAUUUGUGUUCUUCAUAAUGUUCAGUCUUUUUAUGACUGCAUAGUAUUCUGCAAUGGACUAUCUCUAGCCAUUUUCUCAUUUAACUUGCUUUCACUUGCUAAUAUUACAAAUACUGCUGGAGCAAAUAUCUUUGAUAUCUUUUUGCUUAUGUACAAGUAUUUCUGUAGGCAAAUAUUUCUGUACAUUUUCACUUUGACAGUUAGUGCCAAAAAAGGCUUUAACAGUUUAUCCCCUUAACUGACAACAGAGGAGAGUGUCCAUUACCCCACACCCUCCAAAAAACUGUCAAAUUGGAGUGGGAAGAAAUGUCACAUUAAUUUUCAAUUGCUGAUGUCUGUUAGACUGAAUCAUCUUUUCAUAUGUCAUUAGCCAUUACAGUUAUUAAACUGCCUGUUAAUAUCAUCAGAUGUGCAUUCUGCUAAAGAUAAUUAAAAAUGGACUAUUAGUACUAUAAAUAGGAUUUCUUUUUGUUCAUUUUGUUUUGGUUUUGGGGGAUUUUUGUUUUUUAAUUUAAGAAUUUUGGAGAUUUAAGCAUAAACAAUACAGGACAGGAGCACCUAAGCAACAGAAACAUAGGCACUUCCUGUUUUUCUGUUGUCAUCCCUAGCAUGCUUGUCAAUCCAUAGGCACACGAUAGCCACUUCACUUCCAGACAUCACAUCCACUUUCCAAAUGGAAGGAAUUUUUUUUAAAAACCAAGGAAAUAAAGAGCUACACAGACUGAAUCUGUCUUUUUCU
Molecule: long non-coding RNA, 5509 nt
Organism: Heterocephalus glaber (naked mole-rat)
Lineage: Eukaryota; Metazoa; Chordata; Mammalia; Rodentia; Bathyergidae
Source: Ensembl